UACGUAGGGGGCAAGCGUUGUCCGGAAUCAUUGGGCGUAAAGAGCGUGUAGGCGGCCCGGUAAGUCCGCUGUGAAAGUCCAGGGCUCAACCCUGGGAUGCCGGUGGAUACUGUCGGGCUCGAGUCCGGAAGAGGAGUGUGGAAUUCCUGGUGUAGCGGUGAAAUGCGCAGAUAUCAGGAGGAACACCAAUGGCGAAGGCAGCACUCUGGGACGUGACUGACGCUGAGACGCGAAAGUGUGGGGAGCGAACAGG
This 253-nucleotide ribosomal RNA is filed under the name uncultured bacterium. RNAcentral describes it as "partial 16S ribosomal RNA". It matches the Rfam family "Bacterial small subunit ribosomal RNA", at positions 524 to 776 of the family's 1533-position model. The record is from RNAcentral.